This is a long non-coding RNA of Trachemys scripta elegans, 1696 nucleotides long. RefSeq lists it as uncharacterized. The record is from RefSeq and is a predicted model, not a curated record. NCBI's taxonomy places the organism in Eukaryota, Metazoa, Chordata, Testudines, Emydidae. The transcript has 3 exons.
AGGGGAGGGACGAUGACAGUGCGGGCCUGUGUGUUCUAGAAGAGCCUGGACUAGGCAACGCCCCAGCACCCCAAGGCGGGAAGCCGGUCUGUUCCAGUGGAACAAUCAGACUGUCAACCAGCAAAGUGGAGGGGGGAGGCCUCAUGACGUCAAUGACAGAACUCUGGCUGGAGCUGGGCAUAGACCAUGAACUCCCUGCUGCAGGAGAGCAUCCAGAAAGGAUCUGAGAGCCAAAGCAGCCCAUACCCAGCAGCGAGAAGAAACUUAAUUAUGCUAAAGAAAAGGGAAUGACUAAGGGAACUGGGUAAGGAAAUGUGUUUCCUUUGGGACUUUUUUGUUAGUAUUAUUUUUAUUUACUAUUUGUAUUGCCAUAGCGUGUAGGAGCCCUAGUCCAGGACUAGGAGCCCAUUGUGCUAGGUGCCGGAUGAAGAACAGAAAGAUGGUCCCUGUCCCAAAGAGCUUGCAAUCGAAGCAGAAGACAAGAGACAAUGAAUGGCUACAGACAGACACGGGAGAACAAGGAAACAAUGAGACAACAUUGGUCAGCAUGGCGGGUGGUGGCUCAGCACACCAGCAGCCUCACCACCGUCAGGCGUCACAGCAGAGGGACUUUGAAGGAGGGAUUUGAAGGAGCAUAAUGAGGUUGAUUGCAGAUGUUUACAAAUGCUCCUCCCAAAUGUGAGGGGCAGAAAGCAUUAAGGUGCUUGUUUGAAAAUUUAACAAGUGGGCGAUGGAAGCUGGUAUCGUGAGCCCAUCACAGGCAGGUGUUGAUAUUUCAAUAGUGAAAUAUUUGAUGCUAUAGAGAAGGGAGAGGCACUGGAGGCAUUCAAAGAGAAGGGUGACAAGGUCAAAGCGAUGGGCUGUGUGACAGAGUGAACUGUCACAAAGGGAGAGAAAUAAAUCCCAAGCAGCUGACUCCAAUUAAUCUCUCCUUUCAGAGGCUACUGGGAGUGGGAGGAAACUGGGGUCUGUAUAAGGAGGAAGUGAGGCAACACCCAAGAAGACUGGGAGGCAGAAGGAGUAACAAGGGAAAAAACAGCUCCAGAAAGAGGCAGGAGGAAAAAUAAUCACGUUGGGGUAAAGGAAAGAACUGUGUACCAACUGAGACUGCCACCCUAGGAAACUUUGGACUUACCUAAGAGGUCAAAGAACACGUGGGAAAAUGGGACUAAAGAUUUCAGGUGUAGAUGAUGCUAAACUAAAUAUUGAUACACCCCUUUUAUAAGUACCUCUACAUUCUCUUGGGAGUCUCCCCCCCCCACCUUUUCUGUGGUGGUCAGGUCAUCUUGCCCUCCCCCUCUUGUCCCAGACAAUGGCUUGGUGACAUUUGUAGUUGGGAGAUUUGGGGCUUAGCUGGAAGACCAAGUCAAUGUAGUGCUUGUCUGGUGAAUUCCCUGGGGCUGUUGAGGGUGAUGUUUGCAGCAACAUUCUGAAUGGAUGGACGUGGGGCAAGAUCACAUCUGUCAAGGCAGAGAAAAGGAUGUUGCAGUAAUCAAGGUGUGAGAUGAUGAGAGUUUUAGCUGUGUGGUUGAACAGGAAAGACCAUAGUUCAGAAAUAUUUUGCAGAAGGAAUCUGCAAGAUUUAGGUGUAAUCUGGAUGUGAGGACCUGGAGAGAGAGGGCCAAGUCAAAGAUGGUGUCUAGAUUACAGGCUGAAGUAACAAGCAAGAUGGUGGUGUGAUCAAGAAAGGGAGCUA